UUAAUUUUUGUACUUUAAUAAAAAAAAAACAAAAAAUGUUCUUAUCAGUUUAAUAUCCGAUACGUCCCCCAUCGGGGGACCACAUAUUAAACGGAUUUUUGGAACGGGGAGCUGGAUCAGGCGCUUGCUCCGUCCUCUCCACGCAUUGGCCCAGUAUUACAGUGCCUCCGGGAACGGUGCACUACCU
Molecule: small nuclear RNA, 187 nt
Organism: Lepisosteus oculatus (spotted gar)
Lineage: Eukaryota; Metazoa; Chordata; Actinopteri; Semionotiformes; Lepisosteidae
Gene: U2
Rfam family: U2 spliceosomal RNA
About the family: U2 is a small nuclear RNA (snRNA) component of the spliceosome (involved in pre-mRNA splicing). Complementary binding between U2 snRNA (in an area lying towards the 5' end but 3' to hairpin I) and the branchpoint sequence (BPS) of the intron results the bulging out of an unpaired adenosine, on the BPS, which initiates a nucleophilic attack at the intronic 5' splice site, thus starting the first of two transesterification reactions that mediate splicing.
Source: Ensembl